GCAACUGCUGCAGUGGAUGAUUUAAAAGCUGUUGUAAUGAAGAUUAAUUCUCUUGAAAGAGAAAAAAGUCUUCCUCCUUGGGAUGAUGAAAACAUCCCAGAAGAAAUUGUCUGUGCAAAACCGGAUCCAGGGCAUAUAAUAGAGCAGCUUGAAUAUCCCAACAUUGGAGCCACUGAGUUGAUUUUAACGAAUGGAAUGCGAGUUUGCUAUAAAUCUACUGACUUCCUUGAUGACCAGGUUUUAU
RNAcentral lists this unclassified non-coding RNA (244 nucleotides) under Hevea brasiliensis (rubber tree). The record is from RNAcentral. Lineage: Eukaryota; Viridiplantae; Streptophyta; Magnoliopsida; Malpighiales; Euphorbiaceae.